Paramisgurnus dabryanus is the source of this 1578-nucleotide long non-coding RNA. RefSeq lists it as uncharacterized. The record is from RefSeq and is a predicted model, not a curated record. Lineage: Eukaryota; Metazoa; Chordata; Actinopteri; Cypriniformes; Cobitidae.
ACACACACACACAAAUGUAAAUAAAGUUAUUAUAAGUAUUUAUGAAGAAUGUUGUUUCUUCAUUUUGUAAAAACUUGAGUUCUUUAAACUUAAUUAAAGAAAUGUCAAUAAGUUAUUCAUAUUGACAAGGGGCAGUGAAAGUGCUUGUGUAAGACUACACUGAGGGCAGUGAAAGUGCUUGUGUAACAUUGGGGGGGGGGUCUAUGUGUGUUAUUUAUUUUUGUUUAAAAACAAUAUCUGUUCAACCACCUUGGGGCUGAUUCUGUUUCUCUUUUUUGAAACAAUCUCCCCAGCCUUGGAAAAUAUUCGCUCACAUGGGACAGAAGACGCCUGACAACACAAAAACUUUUGUGAUAGGACAUAUAGAUGGACUGAGGAAACCAAGUGUUUUAAAACGUGGGUCCAGGAGAGUUGGCAAAAUAAUGCAUGAUCCACCAUUUUAAGUAGAGGAAUUAUUUUGGAUGCAGAUACCUGCUUCUCCUCACACAGCUCCACAGUUGCCUCAUAGAAAGGAGACAAAACACCCAGACACUCCCCAAUGUAAAAAUACUCCUCAGAUGUGAGUGGAGAAGUAUCGGUUUGAAGGGAUGCCAUAGUUGCACCCACCGCCUCUCUCAGCUCAUGAAGUCGCUGAAACAUUAGAAAGGUGCUGUUCCAGCGAGUUUCCACUUCUUGUAGCAGUUUCAGAUGUGUUUUCCCUAAGUGUAACUGCAUUUGCACAAGUCUUUCCUGUACAAAAAAUAGGAACAUAAGUAUAUGAGGGACACUUAGAAUGACAUAAUAAAUAAUGUAGUAAAUGUAUUUUACAAUAUUGAUGAUGACAAGACUGACAAGAACAUUAUGUGAAAUGCUAUGUGAAUAUUCUGUGACAUACCUUAGCAGUGGUGCUGCAUCUGAACAAACUUACAAGCUUCCUGGCCUUUGUUCUCAGGUCAGGAAGUCCAGGAGUCUGGUCUAGUGCCUUUUUCACCAUUAAAUUUAAAACAUGUGCAAUACAAACAGAAUGUUUUAAAUUGAGCUCCCUGGCACAUGCCAACAUAUUGGCUGCAGCAUCUGUAACUAGAGAAGUUACUUUGUGUGUAAUUCCCCAUUCUUCCAUGAUAGAAGCCUUUACAGCUGCUAAAUUUGCAGCAGUGUGUGCUUGUGGAAAUUCCUGCACUCCUAAAAGAACAGUAUUAAGUGUUCCCUCAUUUAUGAAAUGGCAUGUAACAGCAAGAUAAGCGUCCAUAUUCAUUGAGGUCCACAUAUCUGCUGUCACGCUUACUGCCACAGCUUUCUUGACCUGGGCCUUAGCUUCCUCUUUGGCCUUUUUGAAUUUUUCUGCCACCAUAGAUUUUAGAGUCUGAAAAUAAAAUGAAAGAUAAUUACAUGUGGAAUUCUUUAUAUAAAUAUUUUGAGUGCAUAUCAAUGAUGACACAUACCUGUCUUGUAGGCAGAAUAUAUGUAGGGUCCAGUUUGUGAACAAAUGCCCUGAACCCUUUAUCCUCUACCAAGGUGAAUGGCUGACAAUCCUUUGCCACCAUAUCAACCAAGGCCUCAUCCAAUUCCUGUUUCCUUGAACCUAAAAAAAAGUGUGUG